UACGGGGGGAGCAAGCGUUGUUCGGAUUUACUGGGCGUAAAGGGCGCGUAGGCGGCGUGACAAGUCACUUGUGAAAUCUCCGGGCUUAACCCGGAGCGGCCAAGUGAUACUGUCGUGCUAGAGUGCGGAAGGGGCUACUGGAAUUCUCGGUGUAGCGGUGAAAUGCGUAGAUAUCUGGAGGAACACCGGUGGCGAAGGCGGCAUCCUGGACCGACACUGACGCUGAGGAGCGAAAGCCAGGGGAGCAAACGGG
This 253-nucleotide ribosomal RNA is filed under the name uncultured prokaryote. RNAcentral describes it as "partial 16S ribosomal RNA". It matches the Rfam family "Bacterial small subunit ribosomal RNA", at positions 524 to 776 of the family's 1533-position model. The record is from RNAcentral.